Molecule: transfer RNA, 72 nt
Filed under: Pangasianodon hypophthalmus (striped catfish)
Lineage: Eukaryota; Metazoa; Chordata; Actinopteri; Siluriformes; Pangasiidae
Description: tRNA-Glu
Source: RNAcentral
UCCCUGGAGGACUAGUGGUUAGGCCACAUCGCUCUCACCACUGCGUCCUGGGUUUGAUUCCUGGUCAGGGAA